RNAcentral lists this ribosomal RNA (228 nucleotides) under uncultured Chlorobiota bacterium. RNAcentral describes it as "uncultured Chlorobi bacterium partial 16S ribosomal RNA". It matches the Rfam family "Bacterial small subunit ribosomal RNA", at positions 559 to 787 of the family's 1533-position model. Lineage: Bacteria; Pseudomonadati; Chlorobiota. The record is from RNAcentral.
UGUAAAGGGUGCGCAGGCGGGCUSRUAAGUCGGGGGUUAAAUCCRUGUGCUUAACACAYGCAUGGCUUCCGAUACUGYSAGUCUAGAGUCUCGAAGAGGAAGAUGGAAUUUCCGGUGUAACGGUGGAAUGUGUAGAUAUCGGAAAGAACACCAGUGGCGAAGGCAGUCUUCUGGUCGGUACUGACGCUCAGGCACGAAAGCGUGGGGAGCAAACAGGAUUAGAUACCC